This is an RNA transcript of Aedes aegypti (yellow fever mosquito), 1246 nucleotides long. It is a transcript of the gene named very-long-chain 3-oxoacyl-CoA reductase, with no coding region annotated. NCBI's taxonomy places the organism in Eukaryota, Metazoa, Arthropoda, Insecta, Diptera, Culicidae. The record is from RefSeq and is a predicted model, not a curated record. The transcript has 5 exons.
UAUCCAAUCUGCUGUGUAGUCUGGCGAAUGACACCGCUUAGUCAACACGAUGAUGCUCGAGUGCGCUUGGAGCUCGGUGAGCUUAUACUUGCUGUACGCUGUUGGUUUGUACGCAACCAUUCUGUAUCUGUACGAAGCACUUGAAUCUCCUGUUUGCAUAGUUUGGAAUGUUGUGUUUCCAUCGCCAAGUCUCAAGGAACGAUAUGGACCGUGGGCUGUUAUAACAGGGUCAUCUGAUGGGAUUGGGAAGCAGUACGCUCUGAAUCUGGCUCGUGAAGGGAUGAACCUUGUGUUGAUAUCCAGGACCAAAUCCAAAUUAGAGAAAGUGGCGCAGGAAAUCCAGGGUGAAUGCAAUGUGGAGGUGAAGUUGAUUGACGUAGAUUUUUACGAUGGAGAUCAUGUGUAUGACAGAAUUCAGAAGGAAUUGAAAGGCUUGGACGUUGGAGUUCUUGUUAACAACGUGGGAUGCGUCCACAAGUUCCCCGCAACGGUAGAUGAAAUUUCCAUAUCAGAACUGCGACAGACUUUCACAGUGAACAUGUAUCCUGCGGUAAGGAUGGUCCAAAUGUUGCUCCCGGAAAUGAAACAGCGCCGUAGAGGUAUAGUGGUGAACGUAUCUUCCGCAAGUGGUCACUGUGCACUGCCCUACGCAACGAUGUACGCAGCCUCAAAAGCAUUCCUCGACUCGUUUAGCCGAGGAUUACAGGAGGAACUGCUAGGGAGUGGAGUUGAAUGCCAACUGGUUGGACCAAUGCUAGUGGAUACCAAUAUGAUCGCAGACAUUCGGCAAAACCUUUUCAUCAAACUGAUGAGCAUAGAUGUGGAAGCUUUUGGCAAAACGGCUGCCUGGUUGAUUGGCAAAACGAACUACACCACGGGUUGUUGCAAACAUGCGAUACAGGCUAUAGUGAUCACUAUUUUGCCACGAUGGAUAAUCACUAAAAUGCUUGGGAGCAUCGUACUUAAAAUGGGCAGAUAUAUGGAAAAGCAAUCGUAAAUAUUAAUUUUAGCUAUGCAAUGUUCUAAAGAAACUUUUCGUAUAUGUGGCAUUGAACUGGUGAUCAUUAAAUGGAAAAUCUACGAAAGACUGCAAACCGGAUGUAUCAUACGUUGAGAAAACGUAAGUUACAUGUUACGCUUGUAUAUCUGAAGACCUUUUCUGACGUCAAUAAAAAAGGUUUACAUCUAAACAGGCUAAACCAAAUAUGAGCCGCCGAAAUUCAAAAUAAACGGUUGUUAACAUUCA